GGAGAGAUGGCUGAGUGGUUGAUAGCUUCGGUCUUGAAAACCGAUAUAGUUCGAAACAAAGAACUAUCGAAGGUUCGAAUCCCUCUCUCUCCU
Molecule: non-coding RNA, 93 nt
Organism: Gossypium hirsutum (cotton)
Lineage: Eukaryota; Viridiplantae; Streptophyta; Magnoliopsida; Malvales; Malvaceae
Source: Rfam